CCUACGGGAGGCAGCAGUGAGGAAUAUUGGUCAAUGGGCUUACGCCUGAACCAGCCAAGUCGCGUGAGGGAAGACUGCCCUAUGGGUUGUAAACCUCUUUUGUCAGGGAGCAAUUUGCGCUACGUGUAGCGUUAUCGAUAGUACCUGAAGAAAAAGCAUCGGCAAACUCCGUGCCAGCAGCCGCGGUAAUACGUAGGAUGCGAGCGUUAUCCGGAUUUAUUGGGUUUAAAGGGUGCGUAGGCGGAAUGCCAAGUCAGCGGUAAAAUCGCGGGGCUCAAGCUCGCUCCGCCGUUGAAACUGGCGUUCUUGAGUGGGCGAGAAGUAUGCGGAAUGCGUGGUGUAGCGGUGAAAUGCAUAGAUAUCACGCAGAACUCCGAUUGCGAAGGCAGCUUACUAAACUAUAACUGACACUGAAGCACGAAAGCGUGGGGAUCAAACAGGAGUAGAUACCCCAGUAGUC
RNAcentral lists this ribosomal RNA (460 nucleotides) under uncultured bacterium. RNAcentral's name for it is "partial 16S ribosomal RNA". It matches the Rfam family "Bacterial small subunit ribosomal RNA", at positions 338 to 795 of the family's 1533-position model. The record is from RNAcentral.